This 348-nucleotide unclassified non-coding RNA is filed under the name soil metagenome. RNAcentral's name for it is "partial contains 5.8S ribosomal RNA, internal transcribed spacer 2, and large subunit ribosomal RNA". The stretch from base 1 to 120 matches the Rfam family "5.8S ribosomal RNA", at positions 35 to 154 of the family's 154-position model. The record is from RNAcentral.
GAUGAAGAACGCAGUGAAAUGCGAUAAGUAAUGUGAAUUGCAGAAUUCAGUGAAUCAUCGAAUCUUUGAACGCACAUUGCGCCCGCCAGUAUUCUGGCGGGCAUGCCUGUCCGAGCGUCAUUUCAACCCUCGAACCCCUCCGGGGGGUCGGCGUUGGGGAUCGGCACUUACCUGCCGGCCCCGAAAUACAGUGGCGGUCUCGCCGCAGCCUCUCCUGCGCAGUAGUUUGCACACUCGCACCGGGAGCGCGGCGCGUCCACGGCCGUAAAACAACCCAAACUUCUGAAAUGUUGACCUCGGAUCAGGUAGGAAUACCCGCUGAACUUAAGCAUAUCAAUAAGCGGAGGA